Molecule: small nucleolar RNA, 104 nt
Filed under: Pongo abelii (Sumatran orangutan)
Lineage: Eukaryota; Metazoa; Chordata; Mammalia; Primates; Hominidae
Description: Small nucleolar RNA U13 (ENSPPYG00000040482.1)
Rfam family: Small nucleolar RNA U13
Source: Rfam by way of RNAcentral
AUCCUUUCGUAGUUCUUGAGUGUGAGGAUCGGGUACUCACACUCAGGUGUGAGAUGUGCCACCCUCGAACCUCAUUUUGAAGUCAGCACGUUACCUGUCUGACA